CGAAAACACGCUGCAUUCAAAUUCAGAACUGCCAAAGGGGGUGGAGUUGCAAUCUACUGCAGAGACAGCCUGCAGAGUGCAGUCAUGCUAUCCAGUGCGUGAGUGCAGAGUUGGAUGGUGAGCCGUGCAUUGCAUGACGUGCAAUUUUGUGCUGUUCCUAUCAGGUACAUUGUUAAAGAUAUUAUAUUGUAUAUUGUAAUUGUAUUAUUUUGGUAACUACAUUGCCCAGUGAACAAGCACCAAACCAGCGUGCGUGAGUGCAGAGUUGGAUGGUGAGCCGUGCAUGGCGUGCUAUUUUGUGC
RNAcentral lists this long non-coding RNA (302 nucleotides) under Salmo salar (Atlantic salmon). Its description in RNAcentral is "lncRNA (ENSSSAG00000086447.1, ENSSSAG00075027779.1)". Lineage: Eukaryota; Metazoa; Chordata; Actinopteri; Salmoniformes; Salmonidae. The record is from RNAcentral.